Molecule: ribosomal RNA, 1293 nt
Filed under: Cortinarius carranzae
Lineage: Eukaryota; Fungi; Basidiomycota; Agaricomycetes; Agaricales; Cortinariaceae
Description: eukaryotic LSU rRNA
Rfam family: Eukaryotic large subunit ribosomal RNA (bases 617-1293)
Source: RNAcentral
GGAAGUAAAAGUCGUAACAAGGUUUCCGUAGGUGAACCUGCGGAAGGAUCAUUAUUGAAAUAAACCUGAUGGGUUGCUGCUGGCUCUCCAGGGAGCAUGUGCACACCUUGUCAUCUUUAUAUUUCCACCUGUGCACCUUUUGUAGACCCAGGAUAUCUUUCCAGGUGUCUAUGUUGCUUUCUUCAUAUACCCCAAAUGUAUGUCAAUAGAAUGUUGUGCCCAUGAUAAAAACAUAUACAACUUUCAGCAACGGAUCUCUUGGCUCUCGCAUCGAUGAAGAACGCAGCGAAAUGCGAUAAGUAAUGUGAAUUGCAGAAUUCAGUGAAUCAUCGAAUCUUUGAACGCACCUUGCGCUCCUUGGUAUUCCGAGGAGCAUGCCUGUUUGAGUGUCAUUAAUGUAUAUCAAUCCCUCAUCUUUGUUGAAGUGGGUUUGGAUGUGGGGGUGGGGGAGGAUUGCCCUCCCUUUUGCUGGCCUCUUUAAAGAGGUCAGCUCUCCUAAAAUGCAGCAGCAGAACAAAACCUGUUUGUUCAUUGGCGUGAUAAACUAUCUAUGCUAUUGAAUGGUGUAAGGCAAGUUCAGCUUUCUAACAGUCUUUGGACAAAUUUAUCAUCUAUGUGAUCUCAAAUCAGGUAGGACUACCCGCUGAACUUAAGCAUAUCAAUAAGCGGAGGAAAAGAAACUAACAAGGAUUCCCCUAGUAACUGCGAGUGAAGCGGGAAAAGCUCAAAUUUAAAAUCUGGCAGUCUUUUGGCUGUCCGAGUUGUAAUCUAGAGAAGUGUUAUCCGCGCUGGACCAUGUACAAGUCUCCUGGAAUGGAGCAUCACAGAGGGUGAGAAUCCCGUCUUUGACAUGGACUGCCAGGGCUUUUGUGAUGCGCUCUCAAAGAGUCGAGUUGUUUGGGAAUGCAGCUCAAAAUGGGUGGUAAAUUCCAUCUAAAGCUAAAUAUUGGCGAGAGACCGAUAGCGAACAAGUACCGUGAGGGAAAGAUGAAAAGAACUUUGGAAAGAGAGUUAAACAGUACGUGAAAUUGCUGAAAGGGAAACGCUUGAAGUCAGUCACGUCAACCAGGGAUCAACCUUGCUUCUGCUUGGUGCACUUCCUGGUUUGAUGGGUCAGCAUCAUUUUUGACCAUUGGAAAAAGAUGAAGGGAAUGUGGCAUCUUCGGAUGUGUUUAUAGCCCUUGGUUGCAUGCAAUGGUUGGGAUUGAGGAACUCAGCACGCCGCAAGGCCGGGUGUCAAAACCACGUACGUGCUUAGGAUGCUGAUAUAAUGGCUUUAAUCGACCCGUCUUG